This 478-nucleotide ribosomal RNA is filed under the name uncultured bacterium. RNAcentral's name for it is "partial 16S ribosomal RNA". It matches the Rfam family "Bacterial small subunit ribosomal RNA", at positions 28 to 523 of the family's 1533-position model. The record is from RNAcentral.
GACGAACGCUGGCGGCGUGCUUAACACAUGCAAGUCGAACGGUAAGGCCCUUCGGGGUACACGAGUGGCGAACGGGUGAGUAACACGUGGGUGAUCUGCCCUGCACUUCGGGAUAAGCCUGGGAAACUGGGUCUAAUACCGGAUAGGACUCCGGACUGCAUGGUCUGGGGUGGAAAGCUUUUGCGGUGUGGGAUGGGCCCGCGGCCUAUCAGCUUGUUGGUGGGGUGAUGGCCUACCAAGGCGACGACGGGUAGCCGGCCUGAGAGGGGGACCGGCCAAACUGGGACGGAGAUACGGCCCGGACUCCUACGGGAGGCAGCAGUGGGGAAUAUUGCACAAUGGGCGCAAGCCUGAUGCAGCGACGCCGCGUGAGGGAUGACGGCCUUCGGGUUGUAAACCUCUUUCAGCAUCGACGAAGCGAAAGUGACGGUAGGUGCAGAAGAAGGACCGGCCAACUACGUGCCAGCAGCCGCCGUAA